RNAcentral lists this ribosomal RNA (462 nucleotides) under uncultured bacterium. RNAcentral describes it as "partial 16S ribosomal RNA". It matches the Rfam family "Bacterial small subunit ribosomal RNA", at positions 28 to 507 of the family's 1533-position model. The record is from RNAcentral.
GACGAACGCUGGCGGCGUGCUUAACACAUGCAAGUCGAGCGACGCUCUUCCUUCGGGGAGCUGACGGAGCGGCGAACGGGUGAGUAACACGUGGGCAACCUGCCCCUAGCUCUGGGACAACACCGGGAAACCGGUGCUAAUACCGGAUACGACAUCGAGCGGCAUCUCUCGAUGUGGAAAGUUUUUUCGGCUAGGGAUGGGCCCGCGGCCUAUCAGCUUGUUGGUGGGGUAAUGGCCCACCAAGGCGACGACGGGUAGCCGGCCUGAGAGGGCGACCGGCCACACUGGUACUGAGACACGGCCCAGACUCCUACGGGAGGCAGCAGUGGGGAAUAUUGCGCAAUGGGCGAAAGCCUGACGCAGCGACGCCGCGUGAGGGAUGACGGCCUUCGGGUUGUAAACCUCUUUCAGCAGGGACGAAUUCAGACGGUACCUGCAGAAGAAGCACCGGCCAACUACGUG